GGUAAUUUUGAAGAAAUUUUGCUGUUUUUGGUUAUUAUCUUGAAUAUUAUCAUAGAUAGAGAUAAACUGUAAACAUCAAUAAUGUUCAGCAAAGUUAGAUUUACAAAUAAGUCAACAUGACCGAAAUGGUCAGUUGACCCCUUUAGGAGUUAUUGCCCUUUAUAGUCAAUUUUUAACCAUUUUUCAUAAAUCUAAGUAAUCUUUUACAAAAAUCUCCACUGAAACUACUAGGCCACAAUCAUCUUUGGGGUAUCUAGUUUGAAAAAUGUGUCCGAUGACCUGGCCAUUCAACCAAGAUGGCCGCCACGGC
Molecule: long non-coding RNA, 310 nt
Filed under: Mytilus galloprovincialis (Mediterranean mussel)
Lineage: Eukaryota; Metazoa; Mollusca; Bivalvia; Mytilida; Mytilidae
Source: RNAcentral